CAUUAAAGAGUUUUCUACAACUCCCAAACCCCUGUGAACAUACCUUCUGUUGCCUCGGCAGGCCUCGCCUACCCUCGUAGCCCCCUACACCGUAGGGCCUACGCCGGGUGGUGCGCGGACCCUGCCGGCGGCCCGCGAAACUCUGUUUAGCACUGAAUCUCUGAACAUAUAACUAAAUAAGUUAAAACUUUCAACAACGGAUCUCUUGGUUCUGGCAUCGAUGAAGAACGCAGCGAAAUGCGAUAAGUAAUGUGAAUUGCAGAAUUCAGUGAAUCAUCGAAUCUUUGAACGCACAUUGCGCCCAUUAGUAUUCUAGUGGGCAUGCCUGUUCGAGCGUCAUUUCAACCCUUAAGCCCCUGUUGCUUAGCGUUGGGAGCCUACGGCAGCGUAGCUCCCCAAAGUUAGUGGCGUGGUCGGUUCACACUCCAGACGUAGUAGAUUUUCGUCUCGCCUGUAGUUGGACCGGUCCCCUGCCGUAAAACACCCCAAUUCUAAAAGGUUGACCUCGGAUCAGG
Molecule: ribosomal RNA, 515 nt
Filed under: fungal endophyte
Lineage: Eukaryota; Fungi
Description: eukaryotic LSU rRNA
Rfam family: 5.8S ribosomal RNA (bases 186-339)
Source: RNAcentral